RNAcentral lists this ribosomal RNA (514 nucleotides) under uncultured bacterium. Its description in RNAcentral is "bacterial SSU rRNA". It matches the Rfam family "Bacterial small subunit ribosomal RNA", at positions 777 to 1290 of the family's 1533-position model. The record is from RNAcentral.
AAUAGAUACCCCGGUAGUCCUGGCCCUAAACGAUGAAUGCUUGGUGUGGCGGGUAUCGAUCCCUGCCGUGCCGAAGUUAACGCGAUAAGCAUUCCGCCUGGGGAGUACGGUCGCAGGCCGAAACUCAAAGGAAUUGACGGGGGCCCGCACAAGCGGUGGAGCAUGUGGUUCAAUUCGACGCAACGCGAAGAACCUUACCUGGGCUCGAAAUGCAGAUGACCAUCGGCGAAAGUCGACUUCCGCAAGGACNUCUGUAUAGGUGCUGCAUGGCUGUCGUCAGCUCGUGUCGUGNGAUGUUGGGUUAAGUCCCGCAACGAGCGCAACCCUUGUUCUCUGUUGCCAUCAGGUCAAGCUGGGCACUCUGAGGAGACUGCCGGUGACAAACCGGAGGAAGGUGGGGAUGACGUCAAGUCAGCAUGGCCUUUAUGUCCAGGGCUACACACGUGCUACAACUGGCCGGUACAAACGCGCUGCAAGCCCGCGAGGGUGAGCCAAUCGCAUAAAGCCGGUCUCU